CUAACGCGUUAAGUAUCCCACCUGGGGAGUACGUUCGCAAGAAUGAAACUCAAAGGAAUUGACGGGGGCCCGCACAAGCGGUGGAGCAUGUGGUUUAAUUCGAUGCAAAGCGAAGAACCUUACUAGGGUUUGACAUGCCGCGAAUCCUCUUGAAAGAGAGGGGUGCCCUCGAGAACACGGACACAGGUGGUGCAU
Molecule: ribosomal RNA, 195 nt
Filed under: Triticum aestivum (bread wheat)
Lineage: Eukaryota; Viridiplantae; Streptophyta; Magnoliopsida; Poales; Poaceae
Description: partial small subunit ribosomal RNA
Rfam family: Bacterial small subunit ribosomal RNA
Source: RNAcentral